This 497-nucleotide ribosomal RNA is filed under the name uncultured Campylobacterota bacterium. RNAcentral describes it as "bacterial SSU rRNA". It matches the Rfam family "Bacterial small subunit ribosomal RNA", at positions 75 to 593 of the family's 1533-position model. Lineage: Bacteria; Pseudomonadati; Campylobacterota. The record is from RNAcentral.
CUAGCUUGCUAGGUGGAUUAGUGGCGCACGGGUGAGUAAUAUAUAGAUAACGUGCCUCUUAGUCUGGGAUAGCCAUUGGAAACGAUGAUUAAUACUAGAUACUCCUUCUAACUCUAAUGUUAGUCGGGAAAGUUUUUCGCUAAGAGAUCGGUCUAUAUCCCAUCAGCUAGUUGGUAGUGUAAGAGACUACCAAGGCAAUGACGGGUAGCGGGUUUGAGAGGAUGAUCCGCCACACUGGUACUGAGACACGGACCAGACUCCUACGGGAGGCAGCAGUGAGGAAUAUUGCACAAUGGAGGAAACUCUGAUGCAGCAACGCCGCGUGGAGGAUGACGCAUUUCGGUGUGUAAACUCCUUUUAUAUGUCAAGAAAAUGACGGUAGCAUAUGAAUAAGCACCGGCUAACUCCGUGCCAGCAGCCGCGGUAAUACGGAGGGUGCAAGCGUUAUUCGGAAUCACUGGGCGUAAAGGACGCGUAGGCGGGAUGCCAAGUCUGAU